RNAcentral lists this ribosomal RNA (253 nucleotides) under uncultured bacterium. RNAcentral describes it as "partial 16S ribosomal RNA". It matches the Rfam family "Bacterial small subunit ribosomal RNA", at positions 524 to 776 of the family's 1533-position model. The record is from RNAcentral.
UACGGGGGGGGCAAGCGUUGUUCGGAAUUACUGGGCGUAAAGGGCUCGUAGGCGGCCAACUAAGUCCGACGUGAAAUCCCCAGGCUUAACCUGGGAACUGCGUCGGAUACUGGAUGGCUUGAAUCCGGGAGAGGGAUGCGGAAUUCCAGGUGUAGCGGUGAAAUGCGUAGAUAUCUGGAGGAACACCGGUGGCGAAGGCAGCCCCCUGGGCUGACACUGACGCUCAGGCACGAAAGCGUGGGGAGCAAACAGG